This 422-nucleotide ribosomal RNA is filed under the name uncultured Flavobacterium sp. Its description in RNAcentral is "bacterial SSU rRNA". It matches the Rfam family "Bacterial small subunit ribosomal RNA", at positions 353 to 772 of the family's 1533-position model. Lineage: Bacteria; Pseudomonadati; Bacteroidota; Flavobacteriia; Flavobacteriales; Flavobacteriaceae. The record is from RNAcentral.
AGUGAGGAAUAUUGGUCAAUGGGCGCAAGCCUGAACCAGCCAUGCCGCGUGCAGGAUGACGGUCCUAUGGAUUGUAAACUGCUUUUGUACAGGAAGAAACACUCCCUCGUGAGGGAACUUGACGGUACUGUAAGAAUAAGGAUCGGCUAACUCCGUGCCAGCAGCCGCGGUAAUACGGAGGAUCCAAGCGUUAUCCGGAAUCAUUGGGUUUAAAGGGUCCGUAGGCGGUUUUAUAAGUCAGUGGUGAAAUCUGGUCGCUCAACGAUCAAACGGCCAUUGAUACUGUAGAACUUGAAUUACUUGGAAGUAACUAGAAUAUGUAGUGUAGCGGUGAAAUGCUUAGAGAUUACAUGGAAUACCAAUUGCGAAGGCAGGUUACUACGAGUAUAUUGACGCUGAUGGACGAAAGCGUGGGGAGCGAA